AAUGAGCCUGCGAGUUGUGGUGUCUGGCAAGGUUAAGCAAACGCGAAGCCGUAGCGAAAGCGAGUCUGAAUAGGGCGCUUAGUCAGAUGCUGCAGACCCGAAACGAAGUGAUCUAUCCAUGAGCAAGUUGAAGCUAGUGUAAGAACUAGUGGAGGACUGAACCCAUAGGCGUUGAAAAGCCCCGGGAUGACUUGUGGAUAGGGGUGAAAGGCCAAUCAAACUUCGUGAUAGCUGGUUCUCUCCGAAAUAUAUUUAGGUAUAGCGUUGUGUCGUAAUAUAAGGGGGUAGAGCACUGAAUGGGCUAGGGCAUACACCAAUGUACCAAACCCUAUCAAACUCCGAAUACCUUAUAUGUAAUCACAGCAGUCAGGCGGCGAGUGAUAAAAUCCGUCGUCAAGAGGGAAACAACCCAGACUACCAGCUAAGGUCCCUAAAUCUUACUUAAGUGGAAAACGAUGUGAAGUUACUUAAACAACCAGGAGGUUGGCUUAGAAGCAGCCAUCCUUUAAAGAAAGCGUAAUAGCUCACUGGUCUAGUGAUUUUGCGCGGAAAAUAUAACGGGGCUAAAGUAAGUACCGAAGCUGUAGACUUAGUUUACUAAGUGGUAGGAGAGCGUUCUAUUUGCGUCGAAGGUAUACCGGUAAGGAGUGCUGGAGCGAAUAGAAGUGAGCAUGCAGGCAUGAGUAGCGAUAAUUAAUGUGAGAAUCAUUAACGCCGUAAACCCAAGGUUUCCUACGCGAUGCUCGUCAUCGUAGGGUUAGUCGGGUCCUAAGUCGAGUCCGAAAGGGGUAGACGAUGGCAAAUUGGUUAAUAUUCCAAUACCAACAUUAGUGUGCGAUGGAAGGACGCUUAGGGCUAAGGGGGCUAGCGGAUGGAAGUGCUAGUCUAAGGUCGUAGGAGGUUAUACAGGCAAAUCCGUAUAACAAUACUCCGAGAACUGAAAGGCUUUUUGAAGUCUUCGGAUGGAUAGAAGAACCCCUGAUGCCGUCGAGCCAAGAAAAGUUUCUAAGUUUAGCUAAUGUUGCCCGUACCGUAAACCGACACAGGUGGGUGGGAUGAGUAUUCUAAGGCGCGUGGAAGAACUCUCUUUAAGGAACUCUGCAAAAUAGCACCGUAUCUUC
This 1121-nucleotide ribosomal RNA is filed under the name Campylobacter jejuni. RNAcentral describes it as "partial 23S ribosomal RNA". It matches the Rfam family "Bacterial large subunit ribosomal RNA", at positions 614 to 1737 of the family's 2925-position model. Lineage: Bacteria; Pseudomonadati; Campylobacterota; Epsilonproteobacteria; Campylobacterales; Campylobacteraceae. The record is from RNAcentral.